GAAUGGAUUCCAGAAGAGAGGCUCGAGUUUCCAGAGCUUGGAUGCAGGUGGGGUCCAAGGCGAGGGUUCUGUUGCAAUCGGCAAUAGAAUCGGCGAUUCGGCCGGCGGACCGGUGAGCGGAGGCCCUGUGCAUGUAGCACUCGGCGAGGAAGGCCUGCGGGGCACCGCGUCGCCCGUCCACGAUUUUGGAGAAGUGGCGUAUGGCUUCGGAGUGGAGGCCGGCUUCCAGGGCAGCGAGCGCGGCGGCACGGCGCCGGAGGAGGAGCUUUAUGUGGGCGAGGAGUUGGGUCACUGCUUCAGACUCCGGAAGUGGGACCCGGGGUGGGCUUGAGUCGCCGGAGAAGAGGGGGUUCGAGAGGGAGAAGCUAUCGUCGGACCAGCACACGCUCUCGCGGCGGAACGCGGCGGAGGCGAGGCGUUUCCCCGUUUGGAGAAGAACCAUCGCGUCUUCCAUUAG
This 457-nucleotide long non-coding RNA is filed under the name Vigna radiata. RNAcentral describes it as "long non-coding RNA (VRAD_LNC008957)". Lineage: Eukaryota; Viridiplantae; Streptophyta; Magnoliopsida; Fabales; Fabaceae. The record is from RNAcentral.